This is a long non-coding RNA of Suricata suricatta (meerkat), 1730 nucleotides long. RefSeq lists it as uncharacterized. The record is from RefSeq and is a predicted model, not a curated record. Lineage: Eukaryota; Metazoa; Chordata; Mammalia; Carnivora; Herpestidae. The transcript is spliced from 3 exons.
CCUUGGGGGAACCUCAGCUCCGACACCCGCCUCUGCUUGGAGGCCUGCGGGGGUCACUGGGCUCGCCAAGAGAAAGGGAAAGGGUGGGGGAAGAGGCAACCAUUUUACUUUAAAUUAAAAUGACACAAAAAUACUUUUUUCAACUCCGAUCUUUUUGAGACAUCCCCAGAAAGCGUUGCCAGCUGUGAUUGCACCUAAUGUGAGAGCAUGAACUAAUUUCGGAGGUGAGAGCUGAAUCAGGAGACUGCAUGCAGGAUAGCGGCCGUCCAGUGUCGCUAGCAGCAGUAGCGGCGGAGGGUCCCUGGAGAGGCACUCGUGUAGAACCAACGAUACACUCUACAGUCCGUCGUUGCACAGAUAUUUCCUGAGUGCCGGCUCUGUCCGUGAAAGCCAGUUUUCAUGACGCUCACAAGCCUGGCCGAGAUGACCUGGAGGGAAGUGGUCACCAGCUCCAUUCCUCUUCUCUUCAUGGAUAAACUCCAGUGUGAAAUGAGGCCCUGACAGCCGGAUCCGUAUGACAGAAUGGUCCAGAACAGGACAGCCAAUCUGUAAUGAGGGAGGAAGAUUCUAGUAGCAGCUGACUGGCUUCUAGCAUCCAGCACGCUGUGAAUUCUGGUCUCUAAGCAUGAGUGGGCCUCAGCAAAUGCUCCUAGCCACUUCAUCCGCUCUCUUCACAGAUCUAUCAGAUGAGUGUUUUACUGUUAUUCCCAUACCAACGUAGCAGAACCAGCCACCGUACCCACCAUUGUGUCAGAGAAAACACCUGCUUCCUAUAAGGUUCUCUAGCUAAAGGGGAAAACGAGUUGGUUCCCAUGGUCUCUUACUGCAAGCCAGCUCAUCCUUUGGCAUCCUGAGACCAAGAUUGCACAUUUAGCCAGGUGGAUCUCUUAAAAGCAUCUCUUUUACUAUAUUCUCCAUUUCAGACUUAUCCCUAUCUUCUUUCCUGUUUUGCUUUAUCACCUUUGUGAUGCUUUAAUGCUCAGCACACCAGCUGAAGCUCUGUGAAAUCUGUAUCACAGUAUAUUAGCAUUCCAAAAUACAUGCAAUCCCUGAGUAGACAAUAAAUUUGAUUUUGCACAAGUGGCAUCCUUUAUACUUUGCUCAUAAGGCAAUCUCUCAAGUGUAUCUUUUUUUUGAAACACAACACAAAUAGUCUGGUAAAGUAAAAAUGGGUUGCAUGAUGGGUUUUGUGCUCAGCAAAAAGGACUUGGACAAAGCAGAGAUGCUGAUGUUCUUAUUUACAAAGGUUGCCGUCUGGGAAAUUAGUGUCUGCUGCUGCUCUGUAAUUAGGAAAAUUUAGGACCCCUAGCGCUCCAACGUCUUGCAUUAAAGGUUGUAUGUCAUUGGUGUUUUCAUGAGAAUUUGCUGGAUUUCUGUCAUUAAUAACAGGCAUAAACUCAGCAAGCAGUAGAAUAUGCAUUACAUUUAAUCAAUUUGCUAUUUGUAUUCAUUAUGUAUGUCCUCCAUUUUGAGUCAUGAAAAAUUGAAACGCUGUUGCAAAUAGAAAGAGCAUCAUGGAUUACAAAUGAUGUAACGAGCAUAAGCGCUAUUAAUUGGUCAAUUGUGCUUGUCAGUACAUUUAAAGUGAUUAAGGCAGAAAGAUUAGAAGGGACAUGAAUGUGCCUGGGAAGUAGAAGCCCGGGAACACUGGGGUGCUCCCAAGUGCCUUGUGCCUACAUAAAUGCAGUGAAGUCCAAUGGCAUUGAUUCCAGCAAAUUCAUUCAACAAGU